AGCUUACUGGACCAUUUCUGACGCUGAGACACGAAAGCGUGGGUAGCAAACAGGAUUAGAUACCCUGGUAGUCCACGCCCUAAACGAUGCAUACUUGGUGUGAGCGAUUCAUUUCGUUCGUGCCGGAGCUAACGCGUUAAGUAUGCCGCCUGGGGAGUACGGUCGCAAGGUUGAAAUUCAAAGGAAUUGACGGGGGCCCGCACAAGCGGAGGAACAUGUGGUUUAAUUCGAUGCAACGCGAAGAACCUUACCUGGGCUUGAACUGUAGUAGUAAUUCCGUGAAAGCGGAACCUCCUUCGGGACUGCUAUAGAGGUGCUGCAUGGCUGUCGUCAGCUCGUGUCGUGAGAUGUUGGGUUAAGUCCCGCAACGAGCGCAACCCUUGUCCUUAGUUGCCAUCAGGUAAUGCUGAGCACUCUAAGGAGACUGCCCCGGAAGACGGGGAGGAAGGUGGGGAUGACGUCAAGUCCUCAUGGCCCUUACGUCCAGGGCUACACACGUGCUACAAUGGCCGGUACAGAGGGAUGCAAAGGGGCGACCCUUCGCAAAUCUCAAAAAGCCGUCUCAGUUCGGAUUGGGGUCUGCAACUCGACCCCAUGAAGUUGGAAUCGCUAGUAAUCGUGGAUCAGCACGCCACGGUGAAUACGUUCCCGGGCCUUG
RNAcentral lists this ribosomal RNA (658 nucleotides) under uncultured bacterium. Its description in RNAcentral is "bacterial SSU rRNA". It matches the Rfam family "Bacterial small subunit ribosomal RNA", at positions 723 to 1383 of the family's 1533-position model. The record is from RNAcentral.